CCAAGACAGCAGAACGAACCAGAUCAAACUAUAAUUUAACUAUAUCCAAAUACGCAUUCAGUCAUCACCAUAAAUGGGGCAUUCCAAAACAAUAUUGCUAUAGUGCAGUGUGGAGUUCCAAUUGAGGUGUGCCCUAAAGUUAAUCAAUUGGACGAACACACUAACAAGGUUCAGCAGCAAGUAGUUGUACAACUACAUCUCUCCCCGUCUCCGUCCCUUAGAACACACUAACAAGGUUCAGCAGCAAGUAGUUGUGCACUGCAUCAGCGAUUGAAGACAAGAAGUUAAUCAAUCAGACCAGUCAACAACACAGUCAGAACCCAAAGACAACAUCCCGAAUUCAUGAACUGCAGGGAGAGCCGGGGAACAGGGUCGAGCGGGUAGCUAACCUUGAUGGAGAAUAAGGUGUGUCGCAGACGAUGGACUAGGAGGUGAACGCCUGCAGCCGUACAUUGCAUAGUGGCAGCACCGUCCAGCCCUCGAGGAGGGCAAUUCGCUUCCUUGUCGCCUCUAUGAGUGUGCGACGGAGGGGAAGCAGCAGUCCCUACCACGGCGUGACCGGCGAGGGACGACGACGUGAGAGGGGUGGUGGUGGUGGUUGGCGUCCCUGGUUGAGGCUGGGGACUUGCGAACAGAUCCGGGAAGGAUACCCCGGCGACAAGAUCCACGAGCAGAUGGACGGGGAGGAGAGGAUGGGCAUGUCGGCAUGGAUCUGGUGAGAGGCGCGUGGGGAAGGAGCUGAGAUCUAUGGUGCCUCGGUCCGAAAUUGGGGGAUUA
Molecule: long non-coding RNA, 777 nt
Filed under: Hordeum vulgare
Lineage: Eukaryota; Viridiplantae; Streptophyta; Magnoliopsida; Poales; Poaceae
Description: long non-coding RNA (HVUL_LNC021025)
Source: RNAcentral